CAGCGCCGCGGGAAUACGAAGGGUGCAAGCGUUAAUCGGAAUUACUGGGCGUAAAGCGUGCGUAGGCGGUUUGUUAAGUCGGAUGUGAAAGCCCUGGGCUUAACCUUGGAAUUGCAUUCGAUACUGGCGGACUAGAGAUCGGUAGAGGGAGGUGGAACUCCAGGUGUAGCGGUGAAAUGCGUAGAUAUCUGGAAGAACACCGAUGGCGAAGGCAGCCUCCUGGGCCUGAUUUGACGCUGAGGCACGAAAGCGUGGGGAGCAAACAGGAUUAGAUACCCCUGUAGUCCCUGUCUCUUAUACA
RNAcentral lists this ribosomal RNA (301 nucleotides) under uncultured bacterium. RNAcentral's name for it is "partial 16S ribosomal RNA". It matches the Rfam family "Bacterial small subunit ribosomal RNA", at positions 509 to 808 of the family's 1533-position model. The record is from RNAcentral.